Molecule: ribosomal RNA, 383 nt
Filed under: uncultured eukaryote
Lineage: Eukaryota
Description: partial 18S ribosomal RNA
Rfam family: Eukaryotic small subunit ribosomal RNA
Source: RNAcentral
CAAUAGCGUAUAUUAAAGUUGUUGCAGGUAAAAAGCUCGUAGUUGGAUUUCUGGUGGGAGCGAUCGGUCUGGCGCUUAGCGCGAGUACUUGCAUCGUCUCCGGCCAUCCUUGGGGAGAGUCUGUCUGGCAUUAGGUUGUCGGGCAGAGGAUCCUCAUCGUUUACUGUGAAAAAAUUAGAGUGUUCAAAGCAGGCUUAUGCCGUUGAAUAUAUUAGCAUGGAAUAAUAAGAUAGGACUUUGGUACUAUUUUGUUGGUUUGCGCACCAAAGUAAUGAUUAAUAGGGACAGUUGGGGGUAUUCGUAUUCCGUUGUCAGAGGUGAAAUUCUUGGAUUUACGGAAGACGAACUACUGCGAAAGCAUUUACCAAGGAUGUUUUCAUUAA